UACGAAGGGGACUAGCGUUGUUCGGAAUCACUGGGCGUAAAGCGCACGCAGGCGGAUCGAUAAGUCGGGGGUGAUAGCUCGGGGCUCAACCUCGGAAUUGCCUUCGAUACUGUCGGUCUCGAGUCCGGGAGAGGUGAGUGGAAUUCCUAGUGUAGAGGUGAAAUUCGUAGAUAUUAGGAAGAACACCAGUGGCGUAGGCGGCUCACUGGACCGGUACUGACGCUCAGGUGCGAAAGCGUGGGGAGCAAACAGG
Molecule: ribosomal RNA, 253 nt
Filed under: uncultured bacterium
Lineage: Bacteria
Description: partial 16S ribosomal RNA
Rfam family: Bacterial small subunit ribosomal RNA
Source: RNAcentral